RNAcentral lists this ribosomal RNA (753 nucleotides) under Janthinobacterium lividum. RNAcentral's name for it is "bacterial SSU rRNA". It matches the Rfam family "Bacterial small subunit ribosomal RNA", at positions 28 to 776 of the family's 1533-position model. Lineage: Bacteria; Pseudomonadati; Pseudomonadota; Betaproteobacteria; Burkholderiales; Oxalobacteraceae. The record is from RNAcentral.
AUUGAACGCUGGCGGCAUGCCUUACACAUGCAAGUCGAACGGCAGCACGGAGCUUGCUCUGGUGGCGAGUGGCGAACGGGUGAGUAAUAUAUCGGAACGUACCCUGGAGUGGGGGAUAACGUAGCGAAAGUUACGCUAAUACCGCAUACGAUCUACGGAUGAAAGUGGGGGAUCGCAAGACCUCAUGCUCGUGGGGCGGCCGAUAUCUGAUUAGCUAGUUGGUAGGGUAAAAGCCUACCAAGGCAUCGAUCAGUAGCUGGUCUGAGAGGACGACCAGCCACACUGGAACUGAGACACGGUCCAGACUCCUACGGGAGGCAGCAGUGGGGAAUUUUGGACAAUGGGCGAAAGCCUGAUCCAGCAAUGCCGCGUGAGUGAAGAAGGCCUUCGGGUUGUAAAGCUCUUUUGUCAGGGAAGAAACGGUGAGGGCUAAUAUCUCUUGCUAAUGACGGUACCUGAAGAAUAAGCACCGGCUAACUACGUGCCAGCAGCCGCGGUAAUACGUAGGGUGCAAGCGUUAAUCGGAAUUACUGGGCGUAAAGCGUGCGCAGGCGGUUUUGUAAGUCUGAUGUGAAAUCCCCGGGCUCAACCUGGGAAUUGCAUUGGAGACUGCAAGGCUAGAAUCUGGCAGAGGGGGGUAGAAUUCCACGUGUAGCAGCGAAAUGCGUAGAUAUGUGGAGGAACACCGAUGGCGAAGGCAGCCCCCUGGGUCAAGAUUGACGCUCAUGCACGAAAGCGUGGGGAGCAACCAGG